UACGAGGGAUCCUAGCGUUGUUCGGAAUCAUUGGGCGUAAAGGGUGUGUAGGCGGCCAUGUAAGUCAGUUGUGAAAGCCCCGGGCUCAACCCGGGAAGUGCUUCUGAUACUGCUUGGCUUGAGUAUUGGAUAGGUGAGUGGAAUUCCAGGUGUAGUGGUGAAAUACGUAGAUAUCUGGAGGAACACCGGCGGCGAAGGCGGCUCACUGGCCAUAUACUGACGCUGAAACACGAAAGCGUGGGUAGCAAACAGGG
This 254-nucleotide ribosomal RNA is filed under the name uncultured bacterium. RNAcentral's name for it is "partial 16S ribosomal RNA". It matches the Rfam family "Bacterial small subunit ribosomal RNA", at positions 524 to 777 of the family's 1533-position model. The record is from RNAcentral.